Molecule: ribosomal RNA, 253 nt
Filed under: uncultured bacterium
Lineage: Bacteria
Description: partial 16S ribosomal RNA
Rfam family: Bacterial small subunit ribosomal RNA
Source: RNAcentral
UACGGAGGGUGCGAGCGUUAAUCGGAAUCACUGGGCGUAAAGCGUGCGUAGGCGGCGCAUCAAGUCAGACGUGAAAGCCCUCGGCUCAACCGAGGAAUUGCGUUUGAAACUGAUGUGCUAGAGUCUCGGAGAGGUUAGGGGAAUUCCAGGUGUAGGAGUGAAAUCCGUAGAUAUCUGGAGGAACACCGGUGGCGAAGGCGCCUAACUGGACGAGUACUGACGCUGAGGUACGAAAGCGUGGGGAGCAAACAGG